This is a long non-coding RNA of Homo sapiens (human), 942 nucleotides long. Lineage: Eukaryota; Metazoa; Chordata; Mammalia; Primates; Hominidae. The record is from Ensembl.
GCUGUGGAAAAGUUUCUGAGAAGGGAGAGAAAUGGAGGGAAGUGAGACAUGACUAAGAUGUAGGUAAAAAGGAAUAAAGGUUUUCCCUGCUCAAAACUCUCAUGAAGAAAUUAAUGGAGAAGGAAAGCACAAAGCAUGCUUGAAAGAAAGCAAGAGUCUUCUUAUAAGUAUCACCUCCCAUGGAGUGAUAAGAAGUCAAACUCAUCCAUCAUGUCAGUGGGAAGAGAAGGUAUAAAUGAUAGAAGAGAUCCAAGUUUAUCAGGAAAGGAUAAAGGGCAGCUUACAAUUUGGAUCAAAACGGCAAAUUUUGAUACAUCUGCCUACGCUGUCCCUCACAGCAAGCCUGGAGACAUUAGAAAAUAAAAAUAUAAGGUGUCAGAAUGGAUGUAAACUAGAAGAAAACAGAAAUACUUGGAAAACUGAAGAUACGUGGGUCUCACUAUACAGAAAAAUGGUGGCUGGGAGAAGAACAGAGCUAGGGCCUAAGAGACCCGAAUAGGGCCUGAGCCCAGCUGGGGUGGGAAAACUGUAGCAGUUUGGAGCUACACCCUUUGCCUUCUGACAGAGCACCCUGGGCAUGAGCUGAUUGAUGCCCCACACGCUCACACCCCCAUGGAUGUUCUCACAUGGUAUGUGAGCACACUGGUUGUUGUUGCUGGCCAGGUAAACACUCAGAAUAGUGAGUUAUACAAAUAAGUACAGGGAUAUGAUAUUACCUGAAGGUCCACCUUGUACAUGUUCCUGGUGUGAGAGCAGUAGCGUUACCCAGAUGCAGGAAGACAAUGACAGAACAAGGCCAUGAAAAGGAUGGCUACACACAGAGCAGCUUUUGUAUAGCUAUACCAUUUAUCUUGGACCUGGCAAUUGAGACUAAAGAAAGGUGUUAUCAGACAAAAGUAGUGCUUUGGGAAGUAGGAAGAAGACACCUUGGGUGCAAAAAAA